This 979-nucleotide ribosomal RNA is filed under the name uncultured bacterium. RNAcentral's name for it is "partial 16S rRNA". The stretch from base 1 to 827 matches the Rfam family "Bacterial small subunit ribosomal RNA", at positions 37 to 873 of the family's 1533-position model. The record is from RNAcentral.
AGGCCGGACGUCUUACCAUGCAUGUCAGUCGGACGGACGGGCUUCCUUCUGGCGGGUGGUGAGUGACGGAUGAGUGAUACAUCCAUCCGAGCCCGGCCUGGAGGGAGGGAUAACUAAAAGAAAGAUUAAUACAUACCACAAACUACCUGUGGAUGAAGGCGACCGACCGCUAACUCCCUCUCCCUGCGGGCGCGAUCUAUGUUUGAUUAUCUGGUGGGGGGAAAAAACCCCUACGAGGGAAACUAUCUGUGGUGUGAGAGAAAGAUCAAUCACACUGACUGAGACAGACACCCCACACACACUCCUGGGGGAGGCGGGGGUGGUUUUUUUUAGAGGGUGGGCCCCACCCUGAUCCAUCCCUCGCGUGUGUAAAAAGACUGCCUUCUGUAUAAAACUUUUUUUUGUACAGAAAGAACUGUCUCUGAUACACGGGCGGGGUCAAUGACCGAAAAAAAAAAACACCCCCCCUCUAUGUGCGCGCCCCCGCGCGAAUAUAUAGGGAGGGAGCGAGUAUCAAUCAUACUGAGUGUAAAGAGCGCGCGCGCGGGUUUUUUUGACAGACGUGAGAUCCCCCCCCUCUCUUUGCUUGGGACUGGUGUGUGUGACUGGAUAGAUAGUGUCAGACAGAGGGAGAUAUACUCGCGUGUGUGAGAGAUACAUGCAUAUAUAUGUGGAUAAAUAUCGAUGGCGAACCCCCCCCCCUGGUCUCUCACUCUCGCUCAUGAAAGAGAGGGGGGAGAACAAAAAUAAAUACACUCGUGUCCGCCCACUCCAUAACUAUAACAACUAGUGGAUAGACAUUUCUUUCCUCACAUAUAUAACACGCGCGUGAAGUCGAGCGGCGGGCGAGCGCGCAGAAUAUAACACAAAAGUGACGGACGAGCACCACCGUGGCGUGGAUGGAUGAUUAUUAUACAGCACAAACAUACUCCUCCUUCUGUGUCUGCCACUAACAAAUGAUACUCUCCUCUGGAAAACG